ACGGUGCCAGCGAUGUCUUC
This 20-nucleotide unclassified non-coding RNA is filed under the name Chlamydomonas reinhardtii. RNAcentral describes it as "small RNA Cre_0343". Lineage: Eukaryota; Viridiplantae; Chlorophyta; Chlorophyceae; Chlamydomonadales; Chlamydomonadaceae. The record is from RNAcentral.